This 229-nucleotide unclassified non-coding RNA is filed under the name plant metagenome. RNAcentral's name for it is "partial contains small subunit ribosomal RNA, internal transcribed spacer 1, and 5.8S ribosomal RNA". The record is from RNAcentral.
UCUCCGUUGGUGAACCUGCGGAGGGAUCAUUACAGAGUUCAUGCCCUACCGGGUAGAUCUCCCACCCUAUGUUAUUAUUACUUUGUUGCUUUGGCGGGCCGUUAGGCUCCGGCCCGACUACCGGCCCCGGCUGGUAAGCGCCCGCCAGAGGACCCAAAACCCUGAAUAUUAGUGUCGUCCGAGUACUAUAUAAUAGUUAAAACUUUCAACAACGGAUCUCUUGGUUCUG